UGUUUCAAUCUGCACUUAUUCCCCUCAACAGCUUCUUCUAAACCUGUCACUAACAAUACCUAAAUACUGGGCCAGAAGAUUUCAGCUACAGGAAGAAUAAAAUCAGACUCUGUUUCUGAGCAGUGAUUGAUCCUUAUCAGAUUUGGCAUCUUGCUUUUGAAAAGAGAAGAAAGUGGAAAAAAAAAAUCUGUUCAACAGCAGCUGGAAGAGAGGAGUGAGAAAAUGUGAGAAACAACCCUGAAGACACCAAGUGAUCAAGCACUGGAAUGGACUGCCAUGGAAGUACCGGAAUCCCCAUCUCUGGAGGUAUUUAAGAGAGAAAUGGACUUGGCACUACAGGACAUGGUUUAGUGCUAGGACACAGUAGAUUGUGGCAACUGCAGAAUAUAUUAGAUGAGAAGAGAAGCAUGAUAUGAAACCACCUUUAGAUAAUCCUUUAUCUGCACAUCAAGCAAUUUUGGAGAAGGUAAAC
RNAcentral lists this long non-coding RNA (472 nucleotides) under Gallus gallus (chicken). RNAcentral describes it as "lncRNA (ENSGALG00010002560.1)". The record is from RNAcentral. Lineage: Eukaryota; Metazoa; Chordata; Aves; Galliformes; Phasianidae.